AAAAAAGAAAUAAAAUUUGUUAUGAAAGAAAUAAAGAAAUAAAAAUCUCUCGUGCUUUCUGGUUACUCUCUCUCGCCACUUGCUCUCUUUCUGUCACUCUCACUCUCUGGCUCUCGCUCCCUCGCUCACACUCUGUCUAUUUGUGGCUCGCUCCAAACUCACAUUCUUUACCCGAUUUUAUCACUCAAAUUUUAGGUUUUUUUACAUUUAAAAUUUUUUUAGGGUAUGGAUAUGGCUGAUUUAGGAAUGGUUUUAGUUUUGGGCAUUGGUGCUAGGGGUUAAACUUUUGGCUACUGCAGCUAUUGUUGGGAAACGAACAGGACGUGUGGGCAAUUGAUUUUUUCUUAUCCUCUGGUUAGAUGGCAGGAGAGACUAAUGAUCACUCUCGGAGUCAUGGAUCUAGACCUUGCAUUAAGGGUUCCCAAACUUGCUAAUCUUACUGAUAAGAAAAGAGGGAGAUGGAAAAGUGGGAAAAGUUUAAUAGCAUAAGUCUUAUGGUCAUUAAGCGUGCCAUUCCAGAAGCUUUUAGUGGAACUAUGUCCGAUCAGGUAGAUACAGCUAAAGCUUUCCUUGAGGACCUUGAGAAGAGAUUUGCUAAGAAUGAAAAGGCUGAAACUAGUACAAUCUUAGCAAAGCUCAUCUCUAUGAGGUACACAGGCAAAGAAAAUAUAAGAGAGUAGAUUAUGGAAAUGUCUGAUGCUGCUUCAAAAUUAAAGGCACUCAAGUUGGAUUUAUCUGAAGACUUGUUAGUGCAUUGGGUUUUGAUAUCCCUUACAGCACAGUUCAGUCAGUUGAAAGUGAGCUAUAACUGUCAAAAGGACUCUUGGUCCCUUAAUGAGCUCAUCUCACACUGUGUUCAGGAGGAAGAUAGAUUGAAGCAAGAAAGGACACCGAGUGUUCACUUGGCCUCCACCACAAAGGACAAAAGGAAAGACAAUAAGAGAUAGAAGUAAUAGGAAGCUACAGAAAUAGCACCGCAAAAGAAACAACAUAAGGAACCAACUCAGGAUGGUUGUUUCUUCUGUAGAGUGGCAGGUCAUAAGAAGAAGCAGUGUACCAAUUAUCAUGCAUGGCAUGUAAAGAAAGGUAUGCUUCUUAACUUUGUUUGUUCUGAGGUUAAUUUGGCUUCAGUACCUAGACACACAUGGUGGAUGGAUUCUGGUGCAACAACUCACAUCAAUGUGUCCAUGCAUGGUUGCCUGAAUUAACGAAAACCUAGUGAUGGUGAAAGAUACAUCUAUGUUGGUGAUGGCAAGUCAGUAGAGGUCUAAGCAAUUGGAACUUUUAGAUUAUUGUUAAGAACUGGUUAUUAUUUGGAUUUGAUUGAGACUUUUGUUGUACCGUCCUUUAGACGGAAUUUGAUUUCUAUUUCAGUAUUGGAAAAAUUUGGUUAUUGUUGUUCAUUUGGAAAUGGAAAAUUUAAUCUUUUUCAAAAAUCAAAUUUGGUUGGUUCCAGUUCUUUAUCAGGUUGUGAUAAUCUAUAUUUGCUUGAUACAAUUGCUUCAUUUAAUGAAUCCUUGCAUGUUAAUGUAAUGGGUAAAAAACGCAAAUUAACCAGCGAGAAUUCAGCUUCAUUGUGGCACAAGAGAAUGGGUCACAUCUCUAAAAAGAGAAUUGAGAGACUUGUGUCCUCUGACGGUAUCCUCGAUCCUAUUGAUUUUUCAGAUUUUAAUAUGUGUGUGAAUUGCAUUAAGGGA
Hevea brasiliensis (rubber tree) is the source of this 1697-nucleotide long non-coding RNA. RefSeq lists it as uncharacterized. NCBI's taxonomy places the organism in Eukaryota, Viridiplantae, Streptophyta, Magnoliopsida, Malpighiales, Euphorbiaceae. The record is from RefSeq and is a predicted model, not a curated record. The transcript has 3 exons.